RNAcentral lists this ribosomal RNA (406 nucleotides) under uncultured bacterium. Its description in RNAcentral is "partial 16S ribosomal RNA". It matches the Rfam family "Bacterial small subunit ribosomal RNA", at positions 29 to 526 of the family's 1533-position model. The record is from RNAcentral.
AUUGAACGCUGGCGGCAGGCCUAACACAUGCAAGUCGAGCGAGCGGCGGACGGGGGAGUAAUGUCUGGGAAACUGCCUGAUGGAGGGGGAUAACUACUGGAAACGGUAGCUAAUACCGCAUAACAUCAGAUGUGCCCAGAUGGGAUUAGCUAGUAGGUGGGGUAACGGCUCACCUAGGCAAGGAUCCCUAGCUGGUCUGAGAGGAUGACCAGCCACACUGGAACUGAGGCACGGUCCAGACUCCUACGGGAGGCAGGAGUGGGGAAUAGUGCACAAUGGGCGCAAGCCUGAUGCAGCCAUGCCGCGUGUGUGAAGAAGGCCUUAGGGUUGUAAAGCACUGUCAGUGGGGAGGCGUUACCGGCAGAAGAAGCACCGGCUAACUCCGUGCCAGCAGCCGCGGUAAUAC